GGAUGUGAGGGCAAUCUGGCUGUGACAUCUGUCACUCCAUUGAUUGCCAGGGUUGAUUCGGCUGAUCUGGCUGGCUAGGCGGGUGUCCCUUUCCUCCCUCACCGCUCCAUGUGCGUCCCUCCCGAAGCUGUGCACUUGGUUGAAGAGGACGACCAUCCCCAAUAGAGGAGGACCGGUCUUCGGUCAAGGGUAUACAAGUAGCUGCGCUCCCCUGCUAGAACCUCCAAACAAGCUCUCAAGAAGAAAGCACUAAAAUUCUGGAAACAUUGUUAGUGGUUUGCGAUAGUAUUUUGAGAGCUGGGGAACUAAAUGUUUUGGUUGCAUCUCCUC
Molecule: unclassified non-coding RNA, 330 nt
Organism: Homo sapiens (human)
Lineage: Eukaryota; Metazoa; Chordata; Mammalia; Primates; Hominidae
Source: Ensembl